AGGAUAAUAGUUAAAACUAACAUUUAAGUUGCAUUUAAAAAAUAUUGAUAUAAUCAAUUUAUCUUA
This 66-nucleotide transfer RNA is filed under the name Monolepta atrimarginata. RNAcentral describes it as "tRNA-Ala". The record is from RNAcentral. Lineage: Eukaryota; Metazoa; Arthropoda; Insecta; Coleoptera; Chrysomelidae.